Molecule: long non-coding RNA, 11587 nt
Organism: Bicyclus anynana (squinting bush brown)
Lineage: Eukaryota; Metazoa; Arthropoda; Insecta; Lepidoptera; Nymphalidae
Exons: 2
Source: RefSeq, a predicted model, not a curated record
UAACUUGUAAAGAAUAAAAUCUUUUUAGCAAAAAAAAUCAACCGACUUCAAAAUCACAAAAAUAAAGUAAAAAGCGAAAAACAAUACAAUAUCUAUGUGCUAACUUCUGAUCACUUUGAAGGCUGUGCCAAGCCAGUGACGUAUUAAUUAAAGCCGUUUCUGUAAGAACCACAGGAAAGAACUGUCUUGAAAUUCUAAAAAAAUAUGAUUUAAUCAUUUAAUUUAAUGUAGUGCAACUUUGAAGGCGGUGCCAACAGUGAUGGUACCGCCUUCAAAGUGAUCAGAAAGUAGCACAUACGAUGUUAUAUUUCGCUUUUUAGUUUUUUUUUAUUAUUUAGAAGUUCGAUGAUUUUUUUUGCUAAAAAUAUUUUAUUUACGACCUAAAAGAUUUUAAUGUGUCCUAGCAUAGUAAACGAAAGCGCCAAAGUACCGGAAAUUUCAUUAUUUUCAUUUUAACACAAAAUUACUGAAUCGAUUUUCAUGAAAAUUUAAUGAGACCUAUCUGGAACUAUAUCUACAAAAGUAGAUAUAGUUCCAGAGUUAGUUUAGUUAUAGGUAAAAACCUACUCUUUCAAACUCUCCUUCCUCUGGCUCUCACGCAUCGCGUCCAGUCCGGCCUCUUAGUCGGAGAAAAAUAGUUCCAAGAUAAAAUUAAUUUAUUUCAAGUAGGUAAGUUUAGUUCACAAGCACUUUGGUAACGUCUUAGUAUGUUAUUUAUAGAUACAUCUUAUGUAGUAAUUUUGAAUUUUGGUCGAGGUAGGUACUUUAACUUUUAAAAGUAAAAGAAGGCGAAUACUUAAAAUUAAAGUUACGAGGGCUCCGAACGCGCCUUGGUCCGAAAAGAAGCCCACAACAAUCUCGACCAGGAUUUUUUGUUUAGAUAACACCAUUUUACAAUAGAAAACUUAAAUCAUAAUAGGCUAACAAGCCUUUAUUUAGUGGCCAAACAUUUUUUGUUCGUCGAUGAAUUCCGUAAAUCAAUUUAGUAGGACCGUUAGCGGCCGAACGAAUCUGCGGAGAUGCCUCUGAGCGAGCUUUGUUCAGCGGUCGACGACCCCGCGCGCUUCGGCUGCCGCCCGGCGCCGCGCGCGACACCUGGAGCUCGGGCGCCGACUCGUUGCGUCGGGAGUAAUAUUCACUAUUGUAAUGAAGGAAAUAUUCCGUCGUAAAGAUAUUUGCAAGGGUUCAACGGUUUUCCAAAUGAAAAGUUAGCCCCGAAGGACCCGGUGGACGCGAGCCGGAGGAGUCCUGCCCGCCUCGUCGGCGGCGAGCGGCGCGGCGGGCGCGUGCCGUAUGUAAAGCGGCUCGGAAAAUCCAUAACGGGCCGCGGAAAACCCUUUUAAUAUACGGCACGUAAAUAAGCCUCGCCGCGGGGCGGGCGCGGGGCGGGCCGCCAUUGGCCGGCGCGGGCCCGCCCCGCCCCCGCACCCGCCCCGCGCGCGCCUGAAAAAAACCUCGGAAAAAAGCGGCGAGCGCGCGGCAGUGCCUCACGGACGCGCUCGGUGGGCGGACGUCGCUCGCGACAGAGAGACGGCGCGACCCACGACCGGCGGCCGCGGCCGCGCCAUGCCCGCGCUGGCCCUGCGCGACCAGCCGCUCGACUGCUCCAUGCGCCUGCGCGAGCCGCCCGCCUGGCCGCCGCACCACGGUCAGCCUCCCACAGUGUUCAGUGUUUGGUUUUGUCGUUCUCCCGUGGCUCCGCGCGCUGCGUCCAGCGCGUAAGUAGAGCCAGGCUCGGUGCCGACGGUGCGUAUGCGUGCUGCACCCGCCCGGUGCUCGUAGCGAUAUGAAGUCGGAAGGGAUGUCGGGCCGCGGCGACGUCAGCGGCUUCUUCAACACGCAGAUGGUGCUCGACCUCAACGGUGAGUGUACCCACAUAUGUACAUACACACAUACACACACCGCACUGUCAGUGCGUGCGUUCAAACAAACUAACUCUUCAACUUUACCAUAAGUUUGUGUGCUAGCGGCGACGACGGGUCGCAUGCGGGCUCGUCACCGAGUUAGCAAUACUUGGACUUGCAAUGUAUAUGUACUUAUAGGUUACUGUGAAGUUGUGGCUCCGCCUUUAGAAACUGAAAACAUGACAGAAUGUAUGUAGAUUAAACCAAGAACUACUUUUAUUAUAUGUUCAGGAAUCAUUGUGAGUAAAAAGGACUGGGGUGGUAGCAUUUAGAGAAGUUGUUCAUACUUGAUGUGAUCAUUAAACGUAUCGCCGUGAAUUGAUGCGUGUUAGUGUAGCUACUGGCUACAGUCAUCUCGUCUCGCGUCGUAUUAUUUAUCGGAGGAGGUGCUACUCAGUGUAAAUGAGACAUGCGAAGUGUAACUAAAUGCACCCACUGGCCGGACACUACGAGAAGCCAACGGCAGCCGUCGGCUCACUUCCGCCGCUGACGACAGAGCAAGGCGCUGUCGAGUUAGUGCGGACUGCGAUACACAUCCACAACUCGAAUAUUUACAACGACAAUGUAAUACAGUAACACUGAUAAUGUGCAUUUGUGCCUUUGAAAGUUAAAAAUUACAAAAUGUACUUCUAAUAGGUUUAACCGUAUGCACUCUACCCACGCUUCGGUAAAAACUGUCGCAGCUAAUCGAAUUCGCUCCGUUAGCCGCCGCGCACAAAAAGACGUUUUACAUUUAACACUUAUUUGUGACAACUCACCCCCGUCCCCCGCACCGCACCGCGCCCCCGCACCCGCACACAAAACGACGACAUAAUCAAAUUAAUACAAAUUCACCGCGGAUCUUUUUGUGAGGCGCGGCGACACCGAGACAUUUCUAAUUUUCGUCUAGGCGCGUUUUUUGCCCGCGUUAAUUACGGGAUGAAUGGAGAGGUGCGGGGCGGCGGGGCGGCGGGGAGACGCUCGCUUUUUGCCGCGGAUGCGCUUCAGCGAACCCGAGUUCUCUCGUUGGCGACAUUUCUGGGAUCGGCGCAAUGCGACGCGACGCGACGUCCGCCGCUCGCCGCCGCGCCGUCGUGUGGUCGCUGGUCGCGCAGCACUGCGUUAGUUCCGCACGGACGCGCCGGCCCCGCGCGGCACGUCCGCCGACCGAUCUACUCUCCGACUACUGUUGCCCAUUCACUCCCUCAUUUCUAAAUACCCUGAAUUAGUAAAUUAAUGAAAAUACCUACCUACAAAAAAAGAUGAAGAGGAACUGAUUGAUCUUUUUGAGUCCGAGCGGCGGCAUUUGCAUUCCCGGCCCCCGCAGGCUGCUCAAUAGCGCGACAGUUUAUGCGUCGCGACGACCCGAGCGAUGAGUUCGUUCGCGAAUUGUCGAAUCUUUCCAUCGUUAUCACCGAAAGUAGUCAACGCUCGGCGCAGGUAACCCGCGCCGAGCCGCAUUUACGCAUUUUGGAGCUUACGAAUGCACGACACCGAGAUCGUCAACAGAUUCGUCCAAACUGAGAGUCGUUUGUUUAACGAUUAACAUCGUGCAAAUCGAGCGUCCCGCUCUCGACACAUGUACGGACGACGGAGUGCGAUUUUCCACAAAUGUCUGAGUGAACAAAGACACGACCUCGUCCGCCCCGCGGCUCCGUCCGCAGCACAUUUGCAUGCGCGGCUACCUGGGCCUGGGCCUGGGCCCGGGCGCGCAUCUGCCCGCGUUUUUUCUGCCUCAGCUCGGAGCGGCGAACAAUCGGCGCGGCUCGCAUGCUUCUAUUUCCAUUAGUUUUUGCGGACCGCUCGUAAACGUGAAUAGGGAUUUUUUUAGAUUUAUUGCGAAACGUGCGUAGGCGGUCGGCCUCGUGACGUGGACGUGUCGCGCGCCGUAGCGUCCAGCGGUUCAGAGGUGAAGCAGCGGUGCUCCAGGACAUUUGCGCCCGACCGAAGCUCCCGCGUCGGCAUGAGCCGGGUGGACGAUCAAACUCUCACACACCAGAGAACUCUUUGCGACGCUCUCAACAGUCAGUACAUCGUUUUAAACCAGAACGGCAAUUCGCUGCUAAUUUCAAGAAUUAAAAUUCUAUUUCCGAACCGAAAAACUAUUCUAUCUGAUUUUCCAAAAUUCAAACUCGAAAUAAUUAAGAAUUUAUUUUGAGUUUGAAUAUUGGGAAAUUAGAUUUAGUCCUCGCGAAGUUGCAUCAGUGUCCCCGUGCUCCACCAGCACACGGCACGGCGAGUGGUCACGCGGCGGCGGGCCCUGCGCCGCCCUCGCGCGUCCAUCUAUCCGAGCGCUAGUGUAAGUAAUGUAUGUCGGUAGUUGUUUUUCGUUUUGUCCUCCAUUAUCCGCUCAUGUUAAUAUUAUCUUGAUGAUACGCGGCGUGGAAAUCUAUUAUGCUAAUGAGGCGCGGCCGCGGGCGCGCGGGAGGGGUAACGCCUAAUUACUGCGCGCACUCGAGCUGCCGACUAAUUAGAUAUUAUUACAAUUUACACGUGAUAUUUUUGGGACGACGAUUGAAGUGUACCACGUAUUGACGUAUCGUGGGCGUCUGUGAUUCUUUAAAAACGGUUUUUUUCCGAAAAGGUAGAUCUGCCAAUAAAUAACAUAUGAAGCUAAACUAUUUGUAAAGAUUCUCGAUAGCUAAAAGGUUUUUUCCCGAAGUGCGCGCAAUAGCGUUACCUUUUUUGUCUGUUUCUCAGAAUUGAGAGUAAUCGCAGAGCUCGUGCGUUGUAGCUACUCGCGCACCGCGGCGCGACUGUGAGCCUUGCGGCGCGGGCGCACGGCGCACGGUCGCGCGCCGAGCCCGGCCGACAAUAGAUUUGCAUACGUAGACGCGCAACUUUUUGCACCCACUUUUUGUGCGCAUUCGGCAAUCCGGAGAUCAAUCAUGGGAACGUUCGCAGCCCCCCGCGCCCGCGCCGGCCCGCGCGCCUGCCGGGGGGCGACGCAUUGUUCGGCGCAGAGCGAAGAUCCGUCAAUAAUUUACGCACAGGUAUAAUAGCCUUUCUUAAUAGCCUUUCUAUUCUCGACGACGCCCGGUGAGGCGACGUGACCGUUCUAAAAAAAUCAACAUAUCGCUGGCAGCCGGUUGCGGGCGCGACGGAUGACAAAUUAGGUAAAGCAGCAGUCUUAGCGGGGAGAAACGUCCUGACGACAGGAUACUGAUUCGUAUAUCAUUAUAUCGAUGGAGAGAGCCAAGUGUCAGUACCUCGCUCGCCGGGUCGCUCGCUGCAUGCGGGUGCCGACACGUCACCGCGAGGGUGCAGGUGGCGGUGCCUGGUCUCGGUGACUCCGUCUGCACUCCCGCUGACUCUUCGCGUCGUGCUGCAGAUGUCGUCUGCUGCUCGCAGUGAGGCGGAGGCGGACUGGAACGGGAAUGAGAUUAUAGAUAGCGCGAACGUUUCCUUUAGAUGUUAUCGUUCCCGAAGUGCAAAUAACGCCUAAUGCGUUUCAUGUAAUCGCAUGAGUAAUGUCUUGAUAAUGAAUAAUAAUUUAAUUUUAACGAACGAUAUUCACGUUAUUGGAUUUGGCCUUUUGCAGUUUUAGUUUAAAAAUUCGCUCGCUUUAUACGUGGGUACGCGAUACUUUAAUCGAUUUGCACGAUAUUAAAACUUUGCCAAUUUAAAUAAAGAUGCCAAUAUCGGUUGUAACAAUGUGAAAAUACCAGAUGGAACCAAAUAGGUGAAAAUGAAAAUGGCGCUAAAACACAAGAUUCACAAAGAUGGCGCACUUCCCGCGCCGGCACCCCGCCCACUGCCCACCAGGUCCUCGCUAACGAUAUUCAUCAAUUCAUCGUCGCGGCGAUACACUACACGUAUCAAGUUAGCUCAGCGUCAGUUCGAGAGACUGGCAGGAACUCCAUCGAGAGAUGCUACUUCAACGCGCGCGAGCAGAAGCGGCUGCGGGCGGCCUCCCGGUAACUCUUCUUAGGCGAUGGCGGGAAAGCGUCACAAACGAUUCAUCGAAACGUGCGCGACGGACGCUUUAGUCGAUCGCCGCUGUGCGACGCGACAUCUGAAGAUGUUUCUUCUUCGAACGCUGCUUUCGUUUUUCGCGCGUCAGACGCUGGUCAUCGGUUAGCUAAAAAACAGUUCCCGGAGAGAGGUCAGCGCGCGACCGUUACGCGGGGAGGGCGGAGGGCGAGCAGUUUAUCGCGAAAGGCCACCGAGGGGCGAAGCAGUGUAUCGGGUGCCGCAUGCGAGCCGACCUUUGCGAGUCCCGUUGUCCACCUGCGCACGUUGGGGUCCCGCUACUCGCUACGUUAGCCGCGACUCUUAACGGCCUGACCUUAGCCCGGCCGGCGCGCCGAGCAAAAACUGACAACACGAGCGACCGACCGGCGACCGGCGCCCGACUCCUGCCUGCCUUAGCCUGCGCUCGCUCGCUACUAAUAUAAUGAUCUGAAAGACUGAGCCGCUCUCACGACCUUCUACAUUGUCUAAUAUACCUUAUCACAGGCCGCAUGUUCGCUUAACAUCCACCAGGUGUGAUAGAAGCCAAGCGCUGCCUAGUGCCUACUCGUAUAUAGGUAAUUCGAUAAAUUGAAAUCGAUAAUCUCUACACGCAGAGAAUUACGAAAGUUUUUCACCGUUUGAGAUACGUGAUAUUUAAUUUCUUAAAAUGGACAUACCUGAAAAGUUGGAGGUGCUUGCCCCGGACCGGAUUCGAACUCACACCCUCCGGAAUCCGAGGCAGAGGUCAUAUCCACUGGGCUGUCACGGUAUUCUUCUACUAUCCCUAUUACCGCCCAAAAUUGAGAUCCAAACAACACUGUAUGUAUAUUUUCCCCUAAGAUUAUUAUUUUUGUUGGUGUCGGUCGCUCGGCGGAGAGAGAUCUAUCCUUAGUCAGUGAUGUGCCCGUAAGUCUUGAAUUACAGUGUAUUGAUCAGAAGUCGUGUUUCUUAUUUCUGAAUAAAAAAUAAGCCACACGUGGUCAGUGGCCCGGGUGCUCGCGGGGUGCGGGCGGGGCGCGGGGCGGGGGCGUAACAAACGCAUUAACGAACGACACGUAGAUAAUAUUCAAUCAAAUAUUCAGUAAUGUCGGGUAAUUGGAGGUGCGAUGGCGGCACCAUUACCUGCGACGUGCGCCCGCUUAUUGAGUAUCGACAGGUACCGGCGGGGCGGCACCGGCGGCGCAGUAUCGGCGCAGUAUCGGCACAAUAUCGGAUCACAAUGACGAUAAUGCAUCUCAUUUGCGCGCGCUGCCGUUACCGCAGAACCCGGACACUACUUUUAGAAAACAUAACAGUUAAUGAUUUUUUUGUAUGUAAGUAUAAUAGUAAAUUAUGAUAUUCGUCUGCGUGGAAUUUAGUUUUUCACAAAUCCCUCGGGAACCAUGGAUUUUUCCGGGAUAAAAAGUAUGCCUAUGUGUUAAUCCAGAAUAAAAUAUAUUUCCAUUCCAAAUUUCAGCUAAAUCGCUUCCGUAGUAGCGGCGUUAUAGAGUAACUAACAUCCAAACAUACAUCCAAAUACCUAUUAGUAGGAAGCAGGAAGUGCGGUAAGUUGAAAAUGACAGCCGAGGCGAUAUUGCAGCUCGAGCCAAAGGCGAGAGCGCCCGUGUGUCAUUCGACGUUUUAUAACACAUUAGCGAGGAAACACACUUUGAUUACACUUUCUGAAAAUAAAUUUGCAUCUAUGUCUGUUUUCCAUUUGAUGACAAUCUGACACGCUUGCGAGCACUAGCGGUUUUUUAGGCGAAUGUACCAAAAGCAGUCAAUAUUAGGGACUAAUAAAAUAAAUGAAUAUUUUUGUGUUUUAUUCUAAUAAAGUAAAUGAAUAUUUUUAUAUUUUAUCUCACAAAGUAAAAUUUUAUUCAUAAAAUGUUUGAGCACUUUUCUGACAUAAAAAACUUUUUGCUAAAGUUUAACAAAGUACCGUCCGUUUUUUUAUAAAACCUUCAUGAUGAAGGUUUUAUAUUACAUUACACACACACAUGUGCGUAAUGAGAUACAUUACAAUAUUUUUAUAACAAGCAAAUUUGUUAUAAAUUUGUUUACAAUAUUAGUCUUAUUUUUUUUAUUUUACCAAACCCUUUUCCAAUUAACAGUCAAUACAGUUGUAACGAGUGGGUACGGCAAAAGUUCAAUAGACGAAAUAAUGUCCGGAGCCCGAGUUCAGUUCAGCACAACGCCGGCCACACAGGAACAAGUCUACCACACGCGAGUGUAUCUACCGCUCAAAGUAUUUACUGUUCGCCAAUUAAGCUACCUACUUUUAUGACAUUAAUUAUACCGAUGUCGUCGUCCCUGCGCGCGCCGGCCGAGGGCAGCAGCGCGCCGCAGCAGCGCGAGAUGCGCCGAUAGCGCCGCCGCAGCAAUUGCAGCAAUUAGCUCACCGAUGCUAUCUGCACUUAAUGAUUAGCAUGAGUCGGCGCGGCACCCGACGCAUACAAUUACGAGCAGAUGUCGCGACUCCCAGUUGCAUUGUUGCCUCCGCUUCACUCGAGGAGGUGACCGCAGACCCGCGGGCCGAGGCGCGGCACGUCCUCGCUCGCGACUAGAAAUAACGCAAAACGUUGUUUACGUGCUUUUACUACUGCGCCACAGGUGGGAGCUGUACGUACGAAUGAAAUAAGAUUAACGUAGUUGGGCCGGCUGCUGGAAUAUCUGACAAGUGGCUACUCUAAUAUCAAAGUCAAAAACGCAGGGGAGUCGUCCCGCCGCAUGCUAAUGCCCGGGCUCACGCACGCACGGCACACCUGCGGCGGGUCAAGGUCGCGACACCUCCCGUGCGCGCCGCGUGUGUGCGCUCGCUGGCUGCUCGUGCACUCGUUUGAUGUACGGAGUGAACAUCGCUGCGCAAACAGUGAGCUCGCGCCGCGCCGGGACGCUCCCGAAGUACCGUUCCGAGCUCGCGGAGCACCGUUUUGAAUAUUUGAAAUUUUUAAUAAUAACGGGCGAGCGGGCGAAGCAUGAAUUCUCAUUAAAUCGAGCUAACAUUUUGCAUUCUGCUUCUUAAAAUAGUUAAAUUUAAAUGAGACUAUUUUUAAUUAAAUAAAAAUGUAAGCGAUGUGAUAAUGCGUAGGUACGGUCUCCGGCCGCCGCUCGCUUCUACAAAAUAUAAAUUAGUGAGGAGCCAAAUGAGAGAUUAAUUAAUGAGAUUACAUUCAUUAUGUCAGUCGUUGUUGUCAAACUUUCCGCUGCCAGCGGGCGGCGGCGGGCGCGGGCGCGGGCGCGGACGCUUACUAAUUUAUAUACUCGAAAGAUACUCACUCGAUGCGUGCAGCAGUAACUACGAGAAUAUACGCAAUACGCAAUACGCAAUAAAAUAAUAAUGUAUGACAAUUGCAACGCGUGCCAGAUGUCUGCGGACUUGGAAUGUCCUACAGGUCCUCAACUCCUCGCAGAUGAAUUUGGAAGUCGGAAGUAUAGCUAUCAGUAUCAGUCAACACUACACUUUCCUACUGAUUUCCGAUUUAAAGAGGUCGUACAUUCCACAUCCUUACAUACGUACAAGUAGGUAUUAAGGUGUCGAUGUACGAUGUCACACCAAACGUCCGAUGGCCUGCACCGGUCUACACGGUGCACAAUGAAGACGACGAAGUCCGAUCGGUUUAAGCCAUACAUGUAUGACACGUUGCGGUCGUUUCUCAGUCCUGUUACGCGGUCAGGUCCGGAGGCCGCCGCGCAUUAGAAUAGCUAAUGGCCGCCCUCGUUUGCAUACUGUUAAUUACAAUAUCGCAGCAGGUCCGUGUUCCGCUGUUCGCUACAGAUGUAGCUCUUCAGAUAAUAUUGUUGUUGCGCCGCCGCGGCGCGAUUACAUCUCUCGCAAGAUGUUUAGCAUAACUAGAACGAUUUGCAUAAAGCUGCCGGACUAAUGUAGACAUCACAAUUAAAAUAUUAUAAUAACUUUAGAGUAGUGCCCGUCGUGUGCGCUCGGCCGGCGCCGGCGGGGCCCGGGCGCGGGGAGCACGAGAGCGAUUCAUCGAGACGGACCCUGGCAGCCCGAAAGAGUCGUGUGGGGAACCCGAUCCCACCUGGGAAUCGGUCCAGGCGAGAGCAGCUCGGUGCGCGCGGUGCCGCUCGUCCGCACCGAGCUGGAGCGCCCUGAGAGGCUUACGAUAAUAAUUUCCGUCCGUGUGUACACACUACACAGUUCAUACGCUAUUCACAGUAAGUAGCCUUUUACUUCAUCCCCUUAUCUCGAGAGGGGCGCUAAAGUGUUUUAAGACCUUCCAAAUUGAUUCUCUCUCCUCUUUAUGCCCCAAUUGUACAUUUUUUUCACAUUUGUUUGUUCGUCAAUAGACGGCGGCGCGCGCCCCUCGCCCGCCCCGCUCCCCCCGCUCGCCCCGCCGCGGCCGGACACAGCUUUUACUUUUAAAAGUUAUUCUUUCUCAUUCCGUAUCCGAUAUAAUCCUUUUAACUGUUUCACACACGAUAUAACAAGCGAUUCAUCUAUUGUUUUUUUCAUUGGAUAAAAACAAAGGAGAUGGUCCAAAAUUGUAUGGAGCCCAGGUCCAGUCAUUGUACCCUAGCGGAAAUAAAAGAAAAUAUUUUUUUUACUAUUUUUGAUUACACAAAUUUACGAAUUUACUUUAAUUCUUUCAAAAUAAUAUUCAUUAUCUCCCAAGAAAUGCAACACUAUUAAGGGUAAUAAUGACCGAUGGAUGACGAUUUCAAUGCAGUAAUCGUUCUGACCUUUGCUGUCAAAUGUCAUGUCAUAGUUGCUCUCAGGGCGCCAUCUCGAUAUAACUCAAAAACUUGGGUUUUAAUUAUAUUUAUUUCUUUUUAUUUAGUUACAUUUAAUAAAUUUUAAUGAUACGGGUACAAGAGUCCAUUUCAGGUCCACUCUUGUCGAAACACGAGUUCAAAAUGUUUAGCUCGUGUUUCGAUUCAAUUUUAUUCAUUAUAAUGAGAUUUACUGCACAAUUUUGAGAAGGUAUUCGUGUAGAUAUAUAAGUAGGUAUGUGUUGCAUAAUUUAUAUUUACUUAUACCUACUGCCGAACAAGUAUAGUUUGCGCCAACUGCGGGUGACCCCGUAUGAUCACACAUCGCGCCAGGCGCCGCCGAUGCCGUCGGUGCUGUUGGAGCCGUCGGUUUAGUCGGAGACGAGUCGGGGCUUCUGUUUGUCCGCGAAACGUUCUUUGCUUAAUUAAUGAUUGUGGAGCGGGGCCGCUCCCCUUCAUCCCUUUUCUAAAAUGUAAACGUAGCGCCGAAUACAAUCACGCUGCAGCUGCGGCGACCCGCCCCGACCUCCCGACCUCCCGACCUCCCGACCCCCGGCCUCCUGUCGGCUCGUAGCAGAGGAGGGUCGUGUUGAAAACCUAAUGUAUAAAAGCAAUGGAAUAAAAUAACACAAGCUGGAAUGUAUAAACUGUAUUUCAAAUAACUUAUUACUCAUUCUUAAACAAAUCGUUACUUUGGUAGAUGGAUAAUACAUUAAUUAAAUAAACUUCACGCCACAUAAUCGCAUGUUCGCCUCUUUUACAUAGAGUAUAUAUCACAAUACCCUACCAACCUCAGAAUAAAACCAUUAUCAUUAAUAAACAGUACAGAUUAAAACAUUUAUCUGGAAGAAGGAGUUUUUAUAUGUUGUCUUAUGUAUUUAUAAUUAUUUAAAUAAUUAAAAAUCUAACAUUCGGCCAUACUGACUACAAGUUUGUCCUCAAACUUUGUAAACACAAAUAAAUUCUAACAUUACAUUAUUAUAAAGAUUCACUGAACUAUGUCUCAUAGUAUUUAAAAUUUUAAUUUAUGUUUAUUA